CAGUCGCCGCGGGAAUACGUAGGUCCCGAGCGUUGUCCGGAUUUAUUGGGCGUAAAGCGAGCGCAGGCGGUUAGAUAAGUCUGAAGUUAAAGGCUGUGGCUUAACCAUAGUAUGCUUUGAAAACUGUUUAACUUGAGUGCAGAAGGGGAGAGUGGAAUUCCAUGUGUAGCGGUGAAAUGCGUAGAUAUAUGGAGGAACACCGGUGGCGAAAGCGGCUCUCUGGUCUGUAACUGACACUGAGGCUCGAAAGCGUGGGGAGCAAACAGGAUUAGAUACCCCUGUAGUCCCUGUCUCUUAUACA
RNAcentral lists this ribosomal RNA (301 nucleotides) under uncultured bacterium. RNAcentral's name for it is "partial 16S ribosomal RNA". It matches the Rfam family "Bacterial small subunit ribosomal RNA", at positions 509 to 808 of the family's 1533-position model. The record is from RNAcentral.